Molecule: RNase P RNA, 400 nt
Filed under: Paenirhodobacter enshiensis
Lineage: Bacteria; Pseudomonadati; Pseudomonadota; Alphaproteobacteria; Rhodobacterales
Description: Rhodobacter sp. DW2-9 Bacterial RNase P class A
Rfam family: Bacterial RNase P class A
About the family: Ribonuclease P (RNase P) is a ubiquitous endoribonuclease, found in archaea, bacteria and eukarya as well as chloroplasts and mitochondria.
Source: Rfam by way of RNAcentral
GCGGAUGGCCGGAUGACCGCGGCGCUCCAUAGCUCUGUUUCGGCAGACAGCUGGAGGGCCGAGGAAAGUCCGGACUCCAUGAAGCAACGGUGCCGGAUAACGUCCGGCGGGGGUAACCCCAGGGAAAGCGCCACAGAGAACAGACCGCCACGGUCUCGACCGCGGCAAGGGUGAAACGGUGGGGUAAGAGCCCACCGCGGGACUGGCAACAGGACCGGCACGGCAAGCCCCACCGGGAGCAACGCCGAAUAGGGAUCUCGCGCCCCUCAAGGGCAGGGGAGCUUCGCCCCGAGAGAUCCGGGUUGGCGGCUUGAGGCGGCGCGCGAGCGUUCGUCCAGAGGAAUGGUCAUCCAGGGGAGAAAUCCCCGGACAAAAUCCGGCUUACAGGCUGUCCGCGCAA